GAACGCUAGCUACAGGCUUAACACAUGCAAGUCGAGGGGCAGCAUUUCAGUUUGCUUGCAAACUGGAGAUGGCGACCGGCGCACGGGUGAGUAACACGUAUCCAACCUGCCGAUAACUCGGGGAUAGCCUUUCGAAAGAAAGAUUAAUACCCGAUGGCAUAAUUAGACCGCAUGGUCUUAUUAUUAAAGAAUUUCGGUUAUCGAUGGGGAUGCGUUCCAUUAGGCAGUUGGUGAGGUAACGGCUCACCAAACCUUCGAUGGAUAGGGGUUCUGAGAGGAAGGUCCCCCACAUUGGAACUGAGACACGGUCCAAACUCCUACGGGAGGCAGCAGUGAGGAAUAUUGGUCAAUGGGCGCAGGCCUGAACCAGCCAAGUAGCGUGAAGGAUGACUGCCCUAUGGGUUGUAAACUUCUUUUAUAUGGGAAUAAAGUUUUCCACGUGUGGAAUUUUGUAUGUACCAUAUGAAUAAGGAUCGGCUAACUCCGUGCCAGCAGCCGCGGUAAUACGGAGGAUCCGAGUGUUAUCCGGAUUUAUUGGGUUUAAAGGGAGCGUAGGUGGACAGUUAAGUCAGUUGUGAAAGUUUGCGGCUCAACCGUAAAAUUGCAGUUGAUACUGGCUGUCUUGAGUACAGUAGAGGUGGGCGGAAUUCGUGGUGUAGCGGUGAAAUGCUUAGAUAUCACGAAGAACUCCGAUUGCGAAGGCAGCUCACUGGACUGCAACUGACACUGAUGCUCGAAAGUGUGGGUAUCAAACAGGAUUAGAUACCCUGGUAGUCCACACAGUAAACGAUGAAUACUCGCUGUUUGCGAUAUACAGUAAGCGGCCAAGCGAAAGCAUUAAGUAUUCCACCUGGGGAGUACGCCGGCAACGGUGAAACUCAAAGGAAUUGACGGGGGCCCGCACAAGCGGAGGAACAUGUGGUUUAAUUCGAUGAUACGCGAGGAACCUUACCCGGGCUUAAAUUGCAUUUGAAUAUAUUGGAAACAGUAUAGCCGUAAGGCAAAUGUGAAGGUGCUGCAUGGUUGUCGUCAGCUCGUGCCGUGAGGUGUCGGCUUAAGUGCCAUAACGAGCGCAACCCUUAUCUUUAGUUACUAACAGGUCAUGCUGAGGACUCUAGAGAGACUGCCGUCGUAAGAUGUGAGGAAGGUGGGGAUGACGUCAAAUCAGCACGGCCCUUACGUCCGGGGCUACACACGUGUUACAAUGGGGGGUACAGAAGGCAGCUACCUGGUGACAGGAUGCUAAUCCCAAAAGCCUCUCUCAGUUCGGAUCGAAGUCUGCAACCCGACUUCGUGAAGCUGGAUUCGCUAGUAAUCGCGCAUCAGCCAUGGCGCGGUGAAUACGUUCCCGGGCCUUGUACACACCGCCCGUCAAGCCAUGAAAGCCGGGGGUACCUGAAGUACGUAACCGCAAGGAGCGUCCUAGGGUAAAACUGGUAAUUGGGGC
Molecule: ribosomal RNA, 1447 nt
Filed under: uncultured organism
Description: SSU rRNA
Rfam family: Bacterial small subunit ribosomal RNA
Source: RNAcentral